This 301-nucleotide ribosomal RNA is filed under the name uncultured bacterium. Its description in RNAcentral is "partial 16S ribosomal RNA". It matches the Rfam family "Bacterial small subunit ribosomal RNA", at positions 509 to 807 of the family's 1533-position model. The record is from RNAcentral.
CAGUCGCCACGGUAAUACGAAGGGGGCUAGCGUUGUUCGGAUUUACUGGGCGUAAAGCGCACGUAGGCGGACUUUUAAGUCAGGGGUGAAAUCCCGGGGCUCAACCCCGGAACUGCCUUUGAUACUGGGAGUCUUGAGUUCGAGAGAGGUGAGUGGAAUUGCGAGUGUAGAGGUGAAAUUCGUAGAUAUUCGCAGGAACACCAGUGGCGAAGGCGGCUCACUGGCUCGAUACUGACGCUGAGGUGCGAAAGCGUGGGGAGCAAACAGGAUUAGAUACCCCCGUAGUCCCUGUCUCUUAUAC